This 67-nucleotide transfer RNA is filed under the name Rhynchothorax sp. JZ-2022. Its description in RNAcentral is "tRNA-Leu". Lineage: Eukaryota; Metazoa; Arthropoda; Pycnogonida; Pantopoda; Tanystylidae. The record is from RNAcentral.
ACUAAAAUGGCAGAAAAUUGAUGCAAUAGUUUUAAGAAUUAUACAUGAGGUCUAACCUCUUUUAGUA